RNAcentral lists this transfer RNA (74 nucleotides) under Bacteroides fragilis. Its description in RNAcentral is "tRNA-Asp". It matches the Rfam family "tRNA". From Rfam's summary of the family: Transfer RNA (tRNA) molecules are approximately 80 nucleotides in length. Their secondary structure includes four short double-helical elements and three loops (D, anti-codon, and T loops). Further hydrogen bonds mediate the characteristic L-shaped molecular structure. tRNAs have two regions of fundamental functional importance: the anti-codon, which is responsible for specific mRNA codon recognition, and the 3' end, to which the tRNAs corresponding amino acid is attached (by aminoacyl-tRNA synthetases). tRNAs cope with the degeneracy of the genetic code in two manners: having more than one tRNA (with a specific anti-codon) for a particular amino acid; and 'wobble' base-pairing, i.e. permitting non-standard base-pairing at the 3rd anti-codon position. The record is from RNAcentral. Lineage: Bacteria; Pseudomonadati; Bacteroidota; Bacteroidia; Bacteroidales; Bacteroidaceae. RNAcentral also lists the same sequence under 88 other names.
GGCCCGGUGGCUCAGCUGGUUAGAGCGCCGCCCUGUCACGGCGGAGGUCGUGGGUUCGAACCCCAUCCGGGUCG